Molecule: long non-coding RNA, 1398 nt
Filed under: Capra hircus (goat)
Lineage: Eukaryota; Metazoa; Chordata; Mammalia; Artiodactyla; Bovidae
Description: lncRNA (ENSCHIG00000001313.1)
Source: RNAcentral
CUUCUCAUGAAUUAUACUUAUUUAUUUCUGGGCUUCCCAGGUGUCACUAAUGGUAAAGAACCCACUUGCCAAUUCAGGAGACAUAAGAGGUGCAUCUUAAUCCCUGGGUCAGGAAGAUUCCCUGGAGGAGGAUUUGACACCCAACUGCAGAACUUCCCUGGAAAAUCCCAGGGACAGAGGACCUUGGUGGGCUACAGUCCAUAGGGUCGCUAAGAGUCAAACACGACUGAAGCCGCUUAUCAUGCACACAUGCACGCAUGCAAGGUGCGUCCAUGGAAUACCCAUUACAGAGAUUCCCACAGCAAAGGGACCUCUUCCACUGGAGGAUCAAAUUGCAAAGACUUCUGUCAUUUUCUUAGGGUUUGCCUCCAUUCCUUCUAUCCGCAUGAGGACCCUAGCAAUAAAGGCAUAUGUCUAGCAGCAAUUCCCUUGAUAUCACUGCUUCAUGUAAAUAACUUGUUAUAAGGUGAGUGCGUGCUCAGUUGCUCAGUCAUGUCUAGCUCUUUGCAACCCCAUGCCCGCCAAGCUCCUCUGUCCAUGGGAUUGCCCAUGCAAAAAUACUGAAGUGGGUUGCCAUGCCCUCCUCCAGGGAAUCUCCCUGACCUAAGGAUCCAACCCAUGUCUCCUGAGGCUCCUUCAUUGCAAGUGAAUUCUCUACCACUGAGCCACCAGGGAAGCCCUGGUGUUACAAGGUAUAAGGCAAUAUUUAUAAACCCUAUCCGACACUCCUAUAAACCUAGUGACCAGACAUCUUUAGUGACAUCUGAUUUCUUGUAACCAAAUUGUUUGUACCAACAAAAUCAUUAUUGAUUGUUAGUCAUCAGAACUUCUGUAUCAACAAAAUAUUGACAAUCCCACUUAACUGCGAUGAAUGUGUUUCCUUACCUGUCCAUUUUAUUGGAGAGUAUCCUUCCAAAUCAUAACUCUGGAGAAAGAGCAAUGCUAAUUUUUAUUUUUAAAGUUCUCUUGUGUAUAUGACAGAAGAAAACACUCAGUGUCAUGAUGCUUCCCAGUAAGAUUUUUACACAGACUUCUGAACCUAUGGAUCAUCACUUAAAAAUAUUUUUUUAAUACUACUCAAUAUAUCACAAUAUUUUUAAAUAACACAUAAUAAAUUCACUCAAAACAAGUUGUGUUAGUCCUAACUAAUCACAAUAUUCCUCAGACAUUUUUAUCCAGACCUUUCGUACCUGCCACCUUCAGCACCUUUCAUCUUCCUUUAUGUCUUUUCUUUCUCUUUCUUUUUUCUUUCCUUCUUUCUCUUUUUUUCAUGUUUUCUUUCUUCUUUCUCCUUUUCUUUUUUUCUUCUGUCCUUCUUUCCCUCCUUCUCUCUUCUUUACCUCCUUCCUUCCUUCUUUUCUUGGGAACACAGUUUAUUAGGGUAAAUUAUCUUUUAAC